CACCUCUUCCCAUUCCGAACAGAGAAGUUAAGCCCGUUAGCGCCGAUGGUACUGCUAUCAUUGUGGGAGAGUAGGUCGCCGCCUUCU
Molecule: ribosomal RNA, 87 nt
Filed under: Gramella jeungdoensis
Lineage: Bacteria; Pseudomonadati; Bacteroidota; Flavobacteriia; Flavobacteriales; Flavobacteriaceae
Source: RNAcentral